CAAAAGGCUCUUUUCAGAGCCAUCUACCUAUUCCUGAAGGGGCAA
Regulatory RNA element from Scleropages formosus (Asian bonytongue), 45 nucleotides. It matches the Rfam family "Histone 3' UTR stem-loop". From Rfam's summary of the family: The mRNAs of metazoan histone genes lack a poly-A tail. 3' end processing occurs at a site between a highly conserved stem-loop (modelled by this family) and a purine rich region around 20 nts downstream (the histone downstream element, or HDE). Lineage: Eukaryota; Metazoa; Chordata; Actinopteri; Osteoglossiformes; Osteoglossidae. The record is from Rfam.